RNAcentral lists this ribosomal RNA (496 nucleotides) under uncultured bacterium. RNAcentral's name for it is "partial 16S ribosomal RNA". It matches the Rfam family "Bacterial small subunit ribosomal RNA", at positions 28 to 507 of the family's 1533-position model. The record is from RNAcentral.
GAUGAACGCUGGCGGCGUGCCUAAUACAUGCAAGUCGAGCGAACGGACGAGAAGCUUGCUAUCUGAUGUUAGCGGCGGACGGGUGAGUAACACGUGGAUAACCUACCUAUAAGACUGGGAUAACUUCGGGAAACCGGAGCUAAUACCGGAUAAUAUUUUGAACCGCAUGGUUCAAAAGUGAAAGACGGUCUUGCUGUCACUUAUAGAUGGAUCCGCGCUGCAUUAGCUAGUUGGUAAGGUAACGGCUUACCAAGGCAACGAUGCAUAGCCGACCUGAGAGGGUGAUCGGCCACACUGGAACUGAGACACGGUCCAGACUCCUACGGGAGGCAGCAGUAGGGAAUCUUCCGCAAUGGGCGAAAGCCUGACGGAGCAACGCCGCGUGAGUGAUGAAGGUCUUCGGAUCGUAAAACUCUGUUAUUAGGGAAGAACAUAUGUGUAAGUAACUGUGCACAUCUUGACGGUACCUAAUCAGAAAGCCACGGCUAACUACGUG